This 254-nucleotide ribosomal RNA is filed under the name uncultured bacterium. RNAcentral describes it as "partial 16S ribosomal RNA". It matches the Rfam family "Bacterial small subunit ribosomal RNA", at positions 524 to 776 of the family's 1533-position model. The record is from RNAcentral.
UACGUAGGGUCCGAGCGUUGUCCGGAAUUACUGGGCGUAAAGAGCUCGUAGGUGGUUUGUCGCGUUGUUCGUGAAAACUCACAGCUUAACUGUGGGCGUGCGGGCGAUACGGGCAGACUAGAGUACUGCAGGGGAGACUGGAAUUCCUGGUGUAGCGGUGGAAUGCGCAGAUAUCAGGAGGAACACCGGUGGCGAAGGCGGGUCUCUGGGCAGUAACUGACGCUGAGGAGCGAAAAGCGUGGGGAGCGAACAGG